RNAcentral lists this ribosomal RNA (493 nucleotides) under uncultured bacterium. Its description in RNAcentral is "bacterial SSU rRNA". It matches the Rfam family "Bacterial small subunit ribosomal RNA", at positions 903 to 1397 of the family's 1533-position model. The record is from RNAcentral.
AAAGGAAUAGACGGGGACCCGCACAAGCAGUGGAGUAUGUGGUUUAAUUCGAUGCAACGCGAAGAACCUUACCAAGGCUUGACAUCCUACUAACGAAGUAGAAAUACAUUAGGUGCCCUUUUAGGGAAAGUAGAGACAGGUGGUGCAUGGUUGUCGUCAGCUCGUGUCGUGAGAUGUUGGGUUAAGUCCCGCAACGAGCGCAACCCUUGUGGUUAGUUGCUACGGUAAGAGCACUCUAGCCAGACUGCCGUUGACAAAACGGAGGAAGGUGGGGAUGACGUCAAAUCAUCAUGCCCUUUAUGUCUUGGGCUACACACGUACUACAAUGGCGAUUAACAGAGGGAGGCAAGCCUGCGAAGGUAAGCGAAUCCCGAAAAGUCGCCCCAGUUCAGAUUGCAGGCUGCAAUUCGCCUGCAUGAAGCCGGAAUUGCUAGUAAUCGCAGAUCAGCAUGCUGCGGUGAAUACGUUCCCGGGUCUUGUACACACCGCCCGU